RNAcentral lists this transfer RNA (91 nucleotides) under Rhodospirillales bacterium. RNAcentral describes it as "tRNA-Ser". It matches the Rfam family "tRNA". From Rfam's summary of the family: Transfer RNA (tRNA) molecules are approximately 80 nucleotides in length. Their secondary structure includes four short double-helical elements and three loops (D, anti-codon, and T loops). The record is from RNAcentral. Lineage: Bacteria; Pseudomonadati; Pseudomonadota; Alphaproteobacteria; Rhodospirillales.
GGAUGGGUGGCCGAGCGGCUGAAGGCACUCGCCUGCUAAGUGAGUAUGGGUCAAAAGCCCAUCGAGGGUUCGAAUCCCUCCCCAUCCGCCA